UAGUCAUAGGUAGCAGAACGUUCUGGAAAAAUAAUGCUGAAAACAGUACCAGAAUUGAAUAUGCCAACAUUAGUAACACCAAAUGGAUAACAUGGCCGAAAGACCAAGGUUUUGCAACAAAACAGUGAAUACGGCUUAAUUUUUAAUAUAUACA
This 154-nucleotide ribosomal RNA is filed under the name Edaphochlamys debaryana. RNAcentral describes it as "large subunit ribosomal RNA". Lineage: Eukaryota; Viridiplantae; Chlorophyta; Chlorophyceae; Chlamydomonadales. The record is from RNAcentral.